RNAcentral lists this ribosomal RNA (318 nucleotides) under Salmonella enterica subsp. enterica serovar Agona str. SA-3. RNAcentral describes it as "bacterial LSU rRNA". It matches the Rfam family "Bacterial large subunit ribosomal RNA", at positions 2615 to 2925 of the family's 2925-position model. The record is from RNAcentral. Lineage: Bacteria; Pseudomonadati; Pseudomonadota; Gammaproteobacteria; Enterobacterales; Enterobacteriaceae.
AACGUCGUGAGACAGUUCGGUCCCUAUCUGCCGUGGGCGCUGGAGAACUGAGGGGGGCUGCUCCUAGUACGAGAGGACCGGAGUGGACGCAUCACUGGUGUUCGGGUUGUCAUGCCAAUGGCACUGCCCGGUAGCUAAAUGCGGAAGAGAUAAGUGCUGAAAGCAUCUAAGCACGAAACUUGCCCCGAGAUGAGUUCUCCCUGAGACUUAGAGUCUCCUGAAGGAACGUUGAAGACGACGACGUUGAUAGGCCGGGUGUGUAAGCGCAGCGAUGCGUUGAGCUAACCGGUACUAAUGAACCGUGAGGCUUAACCUUAC